RNAcentral lists this ribosomal RNA (1753 nucleotides) under Salmonella enterica. RNAcentral describes it as "partial 23S ribosomal RNA". It matches the Rfam family "Bacterial large subunit ribosomal RNA", at positions 994 to 2730 of the family's 2925-position model. RNAcentral also lists the same sequence under 1 other name. The record is from RNAcentral. Lineage: Bacteria; Pseudomonadati; Pseudomonadota; Gammaproteobacteria; Enterobacterales; Enterobacteriaceae.
GGUGCUAACGUCCGUCGUGAAGAGGGAAACAACCCAGACCGCCAGCUAAGGUCCCAAAGUCAUGGUUAAGUGGGAAACGAUGUGGGAAGGCCCAGACAGCCAGGAUGUUGGCUUAGAAGCAGCCAUCAUUUAAAGAAAGCGUAAUAGCUCACUGGUCGAGUCGGCCUGCGCGGAAGAUGUAACGGGGCUAAACCAUGCACCGAAGCUGCGGCAGCGACACUGUGUGUUGUUGGGUAGGGGAGCGUUCUGUAAGCCUGUGAAGGUGUGUCGUGAGGCAUGCUGGAGGUAUCAGAAGUGCGAAUGCUGACAUAAGUAACGAUAAAGCGGGUGAAAAGCCCGCUCGCCGGAAGACCAAGGGUUCCUGUCCAACGUUAAUCGGGGCAGGGUGAGUCGACCCCUAAGGCGAGGCCGAAAGGCGUAGUCGAUGGGAAACGGGUUAAUAUUCCCGUACUUGGUGUUACUGCGAAGGGGGGACGGAGAAGGCUAUGUUGGCCGGGCGACGGUUGUCCCGGUUUAAGCGUGUAGGUGUGUGUUCCAGGUAAAUCCGGUUCACUUUAACACUGAGGCGUGACGACGAGGCACUACGGUGCUGAAGCAACAAAUGCCCUGCUUCCAGGAAAAGCCUCUAAGCAUCAGGUAACAUCAAAUCGUACCCCAAACCGACACAGGUGGUCAGGUAGAGAAUACCAAGGCGCUUGAGAGAACUCGGGUGAAGGAACUAGGCAAAAUGGUGCCGUAACUUCGGGAGAAGGCACGCUGACACGUAGGUGAAGUGAUUUACUCAUGGAGCUGAAGUCAGUCGAAGAUACCAGCUGGCUGCAACUGUUUAUUAAAAACACAGCACUGUGCAAACACGAAAGUGGACGUAUACGGUGUGACGCCUGCCCGGUGCCGGAAGGUUAAUUGAUGGGGUCAGCGCAAGCGAAGCUCCUGAUCGAAGCCCCGGUAAACGGCGGCCGUAACUAUAACGGUCCUAAGGUAGCGAAAUUCCUUGUCGGGUAAGUUCCGACCUGCACGAAUGGCGUAAUGAUGGCCAGGCUGUCUCCACCCGAGACUCAGUGAAAUUGAACUCGCUGUGAAGAUGCAGUGUACCCGCGGCAAGACGGAAAGACCCCGUGAACCUUUACUAUAGCUUGACACUGAACAUUGAGCCUUGAUGUGUAGGAUAGGUGGGAGGCUUUGAAGCGUGGACGCCAGUCUGCGUGGAGCCGACCUUGAAAUACCACCCUUUAAUGUUUGAUGUUCUAACGUGGACCCGUAAUCCGGGUUGCGGACAGUGUCUGGUGGGUAGUUUGACUGGGGCGGUCUCCUCCUAAAGAGUAACGGAGGAGCACGAAGGUUGGCUAAUCCUGGUCGGACAUCAGGAGGUUAGUGCAAUGGCAUAAGCCAGCUUGACUGCGAGCGUGACGGCGCGAGCAGGUGCGAAAGCAGGUCAUAGUGAUCCGGUGGUUCUGAAUGGAAGGGCCAUCGCUCAACGGAUAAAAGGUACUCCGGGGAUAACAGGCUGAUACCGCCCAAGAGUUCAUAUCGACGGCGGUGUUUGGCACCUCGAUGUCGGCUCAUCACAUCCUGGGGCUGAAGUAGGUCCCAAGGGUAUGGCUGUUCGCCAUUUAAAGUGGUACGCGAGCUGGGUUUAGAACGUCGUGAGACAGUUCGGUCCCUAUCUGCCGUGGGCGCUGGAGAACUGAGGGGGGCUGCUCCUAGUACGAGAGGACCGGAGUGGACGCAUCACUGGUGUUCGGGUUGUCAUGCC